UAGAGUUUGAUCAUGGCUCAGGAUGAACGCUAGCGGGAGGCCUAACACAUGCAAGCCGAGCGGUAGAGUUUCUUCGGAAACUUGAGAGCGGCGCACGGGUGCGGAACACGCGUGCAACCUGCCUUUAUCUGGGGGAUAGCCUUUCGAAAGGAAGAUUAAUACCCCAUAAUAUAUUGAUUGGCAUCAGUUAAUAUUGAAAACUCCGGUGGAUAAAGGUGGGCACGCGUAAGAUUAGAUAGUUGGUGAGGUAACGGCUCACCAAGUCAACGAUCUUUAGGGGGCCUGAGAGGGUGAUCCCCCACACUGGUACUGAGACACGGACCAGACUCCUACGGGAGGCAGCAGUGAGGAAUAUUGGACAAUGGGUGAGAGCCUGAUCCAGCCAUCCCGCGUGAAGGAAUAAGGACCUAUGGUUUGUAAACUUCUUUUGUACAGGGGAUAAACCUACUCACGUGUGAGUAGCUGAAGGUACUGUACGAAUAAGCACCGGCUAACUCCGUGCCAGCAGCCGCGGUAAUACGGAGGGUGCAAGCGUUAUCCGGAUCUAUUGGGUUUAAAGGGUCCGUA
This 567-nucleotide ribosomal RNA is filed under the name uncultured bacterium. RNAcentral describes it as "bacterial SSU rRNA". It matches the Rfam family "Bacterial small subunit ribosomal RNA", at positions 1 to 573 of the family's 1533-position model. The record is from RNAcentral.